GCGCCCGUAGCUCAGGGGAUAGAGCGCCGGCCUCCGGAGCCGGAAGCGUAGGUUCGAUUCCUACCGGGCGCACCA
This 75-nucleotide transfer RNA is filed under the name Pelotomaculum sp. PtaB.Bin013. RNAcentral describes it as "tRNA-Arg". It matches the Rfam family "tRNA". Rfam says of the family: Transfer RNA (tRNA) molecules are approximately 80 nucleotides in length. Their secondary structure includes four short double-helical elements and three loops (D, anti-codon, and T loops). Further hydrogen bonds mediate the characteristic L-shaped molecular structure. tRNAs have two regions of fundamental functional importance: the anti-codon, which is responsible for specific mRNA codon recognition, and the 3' end, to which the tRNAs corresponding amino acid is attached (by aminoacyl-tRNA synthetases). tRNAs cope with the degeneracy of the genetic code in two manners: having more than one tRNA (with a specific anti-codon) for a particular amino acid; and 'wobble' base-pairing, i.e. permitting non-standard base-pairing at the 3rd anti-codon position. The record is from RNAcentral. Lineage: Bacteria; Bacillati; Bacillota; Clostridia; Eubacteriales; Desulfotomaculaceae.